ACAGCAGCCGCCGCGGGAAUACAGAGGGUGCGAGCGUUAAUCGGAUUUACUGGGCGUAAAGCGUGCGUAGGCGGCUUCUUAAGUCGGAUGUGAAAUCCCUGAGCUUAACUUAGGAAUUGCAUUCGAUACUGGGAAGCUAGAGUAUGGGAGAGGAUGGUAGAAUUCCAGGUGUAGCGGUGAAAUGCGUAGAGAUCUGGAGGAAUACCGAUGGCGAAAGCACUCUGCUGGGCCGACACUGACACUGAGAGACGAAAGCUAGGGGAGCAAAUGGGAUUAGAUACCCCCGUAGUCCCUGUCUCUUAUAC
Molecule: ribosomal RNA, 305 nt
Filed under: uncultured bacterium
Lineage: Bacteria
Description: partial 16S ribosomal RNA
Rfam family: Bacterial small subunit ribosomal RNA
Source: RNAcentral